GAUGAACGCUGGCGGCGUGCCUAAUACAUGCAAGUAGAACGCUGAAGGAGGAGCUUGCUCUUCUGGAUGAGUUGCGAACGGGUGAGUAACGCGUAGGUAACCUGCCUGGUAGCGGGGGAUAACUAUUGGAAACGAUAGCUGAUACCGCAUGACAACAGUUAUUGCAUGAUAACUGUUUAAAAGGGGCAACUGCUCCACUACCAGAUGGACCUGCGUUGUAUUAGCUAGUUGGUGAGGUAACGGCUCACCAAGGCGACGAUACAUAGCCGACCUGAGAGGGUGAUCGGCCACACUGGGACUGAGACACGGCCCAGACUCCUACGGGAGGCAGCAGUAGGGAAUCUUCGGCAAUGGACGGAAGUCUGACCGAGCAACGCCGCGUGAGUGAAGAAGGUUUUCGGAUCGUAAAGCUCUGUUGUAAGAGAAGAACGAGUGUGAGAGUGGAAAGUUCACACUGUGACGGUAUCUUACCAGAAAGGGACGGCUAACUACGUG
This 495-nucleotide ribosomal RNA is filed under the name uncultured bacterium. Its description in RNAcentral is "partial 16S ribosomal RNA". It matches the Rfam family "Bacterial small subunit ribosomal RNA", at positions 28 to 507 of the family's 1533-position model. The record is from RNAcentral.